AGAGUUUGAUCCUGGCUCAGGACGAACGCUGGCGGCGCGCCUAACACAUGCAAGUCGAACGAGAGAUGAGGAGCUUGCUCUUCAGAUCGAGUGGCGAACGGGUGAGUAACGCGUGAGGAACCUGCCUCAAAGAGGGGGACAACAGUUGGAAACGACUGCUAAUACCGCAUAAGCCCACGGCUCGGCAUCGAGCAGAGGGAAAAGGAGUGAUCCGCUUUGAGAUGGCCUCGCGUCCGAUUAGCUAGUUGGUGAGGUAACGGCCCACCAAGGCGACGAUCGGUAGCCGGACUGAGAGGUUGAACGGCCACAUUGGGACUGAGACACGGCCCAGACUCCUACGGGAGGCAGCAGUGGGGAAUAUUGCACAAUGGGGGAAACCCUGAUGCAGCGACGCCGCGUGGAGGAAGAAGGUCUUCGGAUUGUAAACUCCUGUUGUUGAGGAAGAUAAUGACGGUACUCAACAAGGAAGUGACGGCUAACUACGUGCCAGCAGCCGCGGUAAAACGUAGGUCACAAGCGUUGUCCGGAAUUACUGGGUGUAAAGGGAGCGCAGGCGGGAGAACAAGUUGGAAGUGAAAUCCAUGGGCUCAACCCAUGAACUGCUUUCAAAACUGUUUUUCUUGAGUAGUGCAGAGGUAGGCGGAAUUCCCGGUGUAGCGGUGGAAUGCGUAGAUAUCGGGAGGAACACCAGUGGCGAAGGCGGCCUACUGGGCACCAACUGACGCUGAGGCUCGAAAGUGUGGGUAGCAAACAGGAUUAGAUACCCUGGUAGUCCACACCGUAAACGAUGAUUACUAGGUGUUGGAGGGUUGACCCCUUCAGUGCCGCAGUUAACACAAUAAGUAAUCCACCUGGGGAGUACGACCGCAAGGUUGAAACUCAAAGGAAUUGACGGGGGCCCGCACAAGCAGUGGAAGUAUGUGGUUUAAUUCGACGCAACGCGAAGAACCUUACCAAGUCUUGGCAUCCCUUGACGAUGCUGGAAACAGUAUUUCCUUCCGAGCAAGGAACAAGUGGUGGCAUGGUUUCCGUCCACUCCUGGCCUGGAAAAUGUGGGUUAAAUCCCCCACCAAGGCCAACCCUUAUUGUGCGUUUCUCUCCCCAAGAGGACUUUGGCCCAAAUGCCUUUAAAAAACAGAAAGAAGGGGGGGAUGACGUCAAAUCAUCAUGCCCUUUAUGACUUGAGCUACACACGUACUACAAUGGCGUUAAACAAAGAGAAGCAAGACCGCGAGGUGGAGCAAAACUCAGAAACAACGUCCCAGUUCGGACUGCAGGCUGCAACUCGCCUGCACGAAGUCGGAAUUGCUAGUAAUCGUGGAUCAGCAUGCCACGGUGAAUACGUUCCCGGGCCUUGUACACACCGCCCGUC
Molecule: ribosomal RNA, 1372 nt
Filed under: uncultured bacterium
Lineage: Bacteria
Description: bacterial SSU rRNA
Rfam family: Bacterial small subunit ribosomal RNA
Source: RNAcentral